GCCCUUAUAGCUCAGUGGUAGAGCGUUGCACUUGUACGGCAAUCAUGUGAUUGUUCCGACGCAUGCAAAGGUCUGUUGUUCAAUCCAGCAUGGGGGCA
Cylindrobasidium torrendii FP15055 ss-10 is the source of this 98-nucleotide transfer RNA. It matches the Rfam family "tRNA". Rfam says of the family: Transfer RNA (tRNA) molecules are approximately 80 nucleotides in length. Their secondary structure includes four short double-helical elements and three loops (D, anti-codon, and T loops). The record is from Rfam. Lineage: Eukaryota; Fungi; Basidiomycota; Agaricomycetes; Agaricales; Physalacriaceae.